RNAcentral lists this long non-coding RNA (3671 nucleotides) under Coffea arabica (coffee). RNAcentral's name for it is "long non-coding RNA (CARA_LNC002100)". Lineage: Eukaryota; Viridiplantae; Streptophyta; Magnoliopsida; Gentianales; Rubiaceae. The record is from RNAcentral.
UUAUCUGGAGAUUUUCUGGAGGUUGUUUUGAAGUAUUUUUGGUUUUGAUUUCAUUUGGCUUAUUAAAUUUCAGAUUAUAUCAAAUGACAAAUACAAAAGCAGUGAACAUAGAGUUCUGGCAAAACGUGUUGGUCCUAGGGUGUCAAUCGCGAGCUUCUUCACACCUGAUGUAAGGGCAACUGGAAAGCUUUAUGGACCUAUCAAGGAGUUGUUAUCAGAAGAAAAUCCGCCAAAGUACCGCGAAACCACAGCAAAGGAAUAUACAGAUUACUUCCGUGCCAAAGGGCUUGAUGGAACUUCUGCUCUGUUGCAUUUCAAGCUCUAAGCUUGCAAACAGAGUAGUAAAGACUAGCCUGUAAAUCUGUAAUAAAAACAACUAUUCAGGAGGCCAUAACUCAUAUUUGGAGUUUAUAUGCUCCUGUUGAAUGUAUUGCAUGCUUUCCAAAAUGUGAAGGAUUCUGUCAAACUACAUUUUGAUUUGUGUAAACCGUGUGCAUUAGUAUCCGGGAGAUGUUUUUGAGCUAAAAAGUCACUGAGCUGAAUUUGAUAUGGCCAGGCAUUAUGGUGUUUAAUGAUUGGCAUAUCAUUUCUCGGAAUUGUCCAUGUCUCAACUGAAACUGUCUCAACUGAAAAAUUUUUCUUUCUCAAAGAAAAACACAGACAUACCAAUAUUGUGUGGCUAAAAUCCUUCAAGAUGGCAUUUACAUUAUGUAUAUGCUGCAUUAGUUGGACAAAUCCUAGAGACGGGAUGAUUAUGACUUUUCAAGUUACUUUCACAUAUUGCUUUCUUAAUCAUCCUGUCUAAACUUCUAACUUUUUUUAAAUCAGAUCCUUACUCUUACCACCAAAAAAAAAAAAAAAAUUAAAGUCUUGUUGCUUUCUGCUUUUAAGCACCUAAAAGUGGAGCUAUUUCAAAAUUUGACCACUUGAAUAAUUGAGUUUAGUUGAUAUAUUUUACUGUAUGUUUUUUUUUUCAACAAACGAUAUAUUUUACUAAAUGUGUGUAUGUAAAUGUGUACUUUUCUGAUGUCUCACAGUCAAUAAUAUCCAUUUCGUAGAAGUAAAGGGGAAAGGAGGGAAAAAAAAGACAAAAUUUGAAAAUUUUUUCUAUUCAAAAUCAUAAAAAUCAUAGCAAAGAUCAUGUCAAAAAAGAUGAUUAGUCCGUUUUACUGAAUCUUGUGAUCAUUAGUAUAGUUUUGUUGCUUUUCUAUGUUAUCUAAUUUAUUGAAUGUGAACUUCUUGAGUGGCAAAAUGUGUGUAUUAAUUAUUUCUAACUUUUAAUUAUUUUUAUUUUUUUACUAAUAUAACUUAUAUAAAUGCAUAAGGGGUAUUUAUGAAAUAAAAGUUUCAUAUCUCUGUUUAAAGUACUUUUUCUAAUUAGACUAAUUUUGUUAUCAAAACAUUAACUUUAGAGGAGGUUUGAGUAAUUUUACAAACUUUAGGGGAGGUUUAAAUAAUUUUACAGACUUUAGGGGAGAAUAGUGAAAUUGUUAGAAAACCUCAGAGGUGGUUUCUGAAAUUAUCCCUAUCUAUUUUGGUUGAACUUGUGGAUGCUAGGUUAACCAAUCAUCAAGCUAAUAUAAUAACAAGUCUCUCUCCUUAUAGUCCUCCACUUGUCCUUUAUGCUGGCAAUUUUCAAACUUUGUAUUUAGUGAUUCUAGGAUGUAUAUGCACUUAUUAUAUUAUGAAUCAAACUAUUUUAAGAUGUACAUACGUUGUGAUAAAUAUAUAUUCAUUCAUGAAUUUUAAAGUAGCAUGAAUAUAUUUAUGUAUGUGAAGAUCAUUAAAUGUAAGGAUAAAUUCAUAUGUUUUAUUAUAGAAACAUGUGAUGCAUGAAUUAAAGUACAUGAAUUUGUAUACAAUAUCUUGAAUCUAUUCAUACAAGUAUUUAUUAAAUUUAUUUAUUUCUUAAACAAUCUCUUCUAUAUAAAGAAAUCAAGUAGAGAGUGAUUUGCUGCAAAAAAUUAUUUUCCUACCACUAUGAAUUCUUUGAAAAGCACUUCUUAGUUCAAGAAAGUUUGUCUUAUUUUGUGCAAGAGUUUAAGACAAAUAAAGUUUAUCUUAUCCUAAAAAAUAUUUAUCAAGAUUUAUUGCACGUUAUAUCGAACAAAUAAAACUUAAAGAAAAGUGAUAUAUAAUCACGAUUUGAAGCCAAUUAUUAUUACUAUAUUUGCCAGUUCAUUGUAAUACUCCCAACACUUUAUUGCGAGCUUCUGAAAGUUUGAGAUACUCCAGCUACCUAGAACAGUUAGAAUAGAAAUAUGGUGGCUACCAGUAAAGGUGAAGUUGAUCAGGUUGCAGAAGUAGAACCACAUUAUGAUCGACAGAGUGAACUACAAGCAUUUGAUGAAACCAAGGCUGGUGUUAAAGGGCUUGUUGAUGCUGGCAUUACCAAGGUGCCUCGGAUAUUCAUUCAACCGCAAUGUAGCUUAGAUGACGGUCUCAAUGGCACCAAAGGAAUCUUCAAAUUUCCUGUCAUCGAUCUGGAUGGUAUUGAUACAGAUCCAGCCAGGCGCAAAGAGAUAGUUGACAAGGUUAGAGAUGCAUCAGAAACAUGGGGUUUCUUUAACGUGGUAAAUCAUGGAAUUCCUUUCAGUGUCCUGGAGGAGAUGAUUCAAGGCGCGCGUAGAUUUUUCGAGCAAGAUACUGAGGUUAAGAAACAGUGGUAUACAAGGGAUUAUACAAAAACAGUGGUGUACAACUGCAACUUUGAUUUACACAUUUCACCAGUAGCCAACUGGAGGGAUACAUGUUAUUGCUACAUGGCUCCUAAUCCUCCAGCUCCAGAAGAAUUGCCUGAUGCUUGCAGGUAGAUUUCUCAGGGAUCUUCUUUUCUUUGCCUUGUAUGACAAGUGUGGUCUGAAAAUUACUAGAAUAAGGGCCAGUGGCCACUAUUCUGGUGAUUAGAUGGUAGUAUUAAUUGACAAUGAAUCUUUAAGACAUAUCUAAUUUCUAGUUAUGAAGUGGAAAAAGAUUGAGCUGCUGGAAGUUAUAGUUAACUUAAAUCAACUCUUGUUCCUGUUAAACUAUAUCUGAUUACUCAUUUGAUGAAUUCGACUACAGUGAAAUCGUGAUAGAAUACUCAAAGCUAGUGAUGAAGUUAGGCUGCUUAUUGCUCGAAUUUCUGUCAGAGGGCCUUGGACUCAAUCUAAGCUACCUCAAAGACAUUGAUUGUGCAGAGGGGCUUGCUGUACUAUGCCAUUACUAUCCACCGUGUCCACAGCCAGAACUUACCUUAGGCACCAGCAAGCAUUCUGACAACGGCUUCAUCACAGUCCUCCUCCCAAGGCAAUUUAGGUGGAGUUCAAGUACUUCAUCAAAAUCAGUGGAUUGAUGUUCCUUCUACACCUGGAGCUUUAGUGAUCAACAUCGGAAAUCUUUUGCAGGCGAGCCUGUGAUUUAUUGAUUUCCUGUUUUGUACUGCUAUAUUCUUGAAAUAAGGUUGUAACAAACAAGUGCAUUAUGAUGUGGCCAGUUAUGACAUCAUUUCCAUUGUUUCGGUUGGUAAAUUUUUAGUCUUUGGUUGUGAAUUAUAUACUCAUAUCUAAUGACAAGUAAACCUAGAAUUUUGGCUAACAGAGUCAGUCCUAGAGUAUCAGUAGCAAGCUUUUUAGCUACCGGUCCAAGGCCAAUAACAAAGGUUUAUGGACCUAUCAAGGAGUUGUUAUCAG